AUGUAAUCCUUGCCUUGGAAUGCUGAAUUGUUAUAUUAUUUCUUUCUGGUAAGCAGUACAAUAUAAUGGGGAAAAGUAUAGAUUUAGUUCCAGACACGCCAUCCAGAAAGGCUAUGCACUAACUGCAUAACCAAGGGCCUGGAUGAGACACAGCUUUUCCAAGGGUCAAAGGAAAAUGUUUCUCUUCCCUCACUUCCGCAAUACACUGAUGACGUACCACCUGUUGACCAUGGAAAUUUUUCAUGGAAGAUGGGCCUUUCUAGAAACCGAGUCCCCGGAAAACUCUUGAGUUUACAGACCAAAUGCUUACAUUUUUAAAUCUUUUUUUUUUCCCCUUUCUUUUAAGAGAAGUCAAUUGUGAAAGCAAUGUUUGGUCAAGUGUUAUUUGGUCAAGAAAUGUACUAACUCCUUGUAAUAGAGCAUUCCAAGAACUUUACCCAUAAGAAAAUAAAUGUGCCUGUUUUCACUUAGA
Molecule: long non-coding RNA, 472 nt
Organism: Canis lupus familiaris (dog)
Lineage: Eukaryota; Metazoa; Chordata; Mammalia; Carnivora; Canidae
Exons: 3
Source: RefSeq, a predicted model, not a curated record